RNAcentral lists this ribosomal RNA (253 nucleotides) under uncultured bacterium. RNAcentral describes it as "partial 16S ribosomal RNA". It matches the Rfam family "Bacterial small subunit ribosomal RNA", at positions 524 to 776 of the family's 1533-position model. The record is from RNAcentral.
UACGGGGGGGGCAAGCGUUGUUCGGAAUUACUGGGCGUAAAGGGCUCGUAGGCGGCCAACUAAGUCAGACGUGAAAUCCCCAGGCUCAACCUGGGAACUGCGUCUGAUACUGGAUGGCUUGAAUCCGGGAGAGGGAUGCAGAAUUCCAGGUGUAGCGGUGAAAUGCGUAGAUAUGCGGAGGAACACCGAUGGCGAAGGCAAUCCCCUGGACCUGUACUGACGCUCAUGCACGAAAGCGUGGGGAGCAAACAGG